Anneissia japonica is the source of this 1133-nucleotide long non-coding RNA. RefSeq lists it as uncharacterized. The record is from RefSeq and is a predicted model, not a curated record. NCBI's taxonomy places the organism in Eukaryota, Metazoa, Echinodermata, Crinoidea, Comatulida, Comatulidae. The transcript has 7 exons.
GGUACAGUAUUAAAAUACUAAGCUUGUAGGCCUAACUGCCUGCCCAACUGAUUGCAUUUGGUCUGAUUCCUUUUAAGUGAUAAAUGCCCUGGCAUGUGGAAAGAAGCCUUGGACAGCUCAAGGACUAACUUACUUAUAAAUGGUUCUGAUUACAAAGCCUGACAACUUUAGCAGCCUUCUGUUCCUCUGUAAUUACCAUUGUAUGACCUAUUAGGCUGGGCUUGUCCCCAUAGAAGAAGGAUUUGGAAGAGGUAGGUCACUCAGCUUGGAUGGAUGGAUGCUGAGCAGGUGGUUUUGCUCCAUUGCAGAUUGUACUACUGACCACAGGCCUAUAUGGUGAUGCAAUAAAUCCCUUCCUACCAACUGCUACAUGAGAGGUCCCAAGGUGGAAGAAACUUCAUGGAUGCCACUUUAGGAAGAUCUACUUUCAACCCAAGGCCAUGACUUCAGUGGGACAAUUAAUAAGGGUACCAUCUGUUGAAAGUGCAAAAAUUAUGUCUACUUUGCAAUUGGCUACGAUGGCGCGUGAAGUCUACUGGCUAUAGGAUAACAUUUACGGAUGACAAAAGUAGGCUACCUUCAUUUUGUUCUGCCAUGAUCAGUAGGAAGGCUUUAAAUUAUGAGAUCCUGAAUUGGAGAAGAGCUAGAGCUUGGAAGAGAUAAAUCAGAAAGUGUGUGAUGUAUCAGCUUGUCAUGGAAUGUCAAUAAUAAGAUCAGUGAUCAGGCACCCACUACUGCUAGGUGUGAGAGACUUGACCAAGACAAGCAAACAGUGAGGAUUUGAACCCCAGACUUCAAGAUUGAGAGUACGAAUUGCAACUGCUGCAUCUACAGCUUCCACAAUUAUUAAGAUGAAAGACAAUGCCUUUGUUAAACAGUAAGAGAAAUUUAAAAUGAUGACAUUGUCAUCUGAGAAAGACAAAAUCUUCAAGAAAGUAUAUAGCUUAACAUGUUUGUGCAUUACCUGAUAGAUGUUAGAAUUGAAGUGACAGUGACAUCCAAACAUGAAUGAGCAGUUUGCUGUACAGAAGCUGUAGAGCUUGAAGUGCCUUACUAACGCUUAUUAGACUCGUCUGUUAGAAAGUGAUCAUCUGUCAGAAUGGACUGCAUUAGGUCAUACAAGAGUAGCUGCA